Paramuricea clavata is the source of this 1428-nucleotide non-coding RNA. NCBI's taxonomy places the organism in Eukaryota, Metazoa, Cnidaria, Anthozoa, Malacalcyonacea, Plexauridae. The record is from the annotation of a GenBank genome assembly.
CAAAACUGUGCAACAUUCAUCAUCAUAUUGUAUCAAUUUGUCGGAGUAUGGCGCUCAAAUUUGUGACAUUGUUUUGUUCGCUUUGGCAACCCUCGUAUAUAUCAGAUGCUGUUCGGCCUCAAAUGCGACUGAAUAAACACUGAUAGUCUUGCCUGGAAUAUGAAAUGAUAUUGACUUAUUGUUCUGUAUAUCAAGGUAUGUAAUGUACAUUUAUACUGAAUUUAUUCGAUUUUUUUUCACACGUUGCUUUCACAUUUUCUCGGAGUCUCGGAAAUCACAUUUUCUAAUAAACUCAGUUUCACACAUACAGCAAGACUUCAUUUCACACAUACAGAAAGACUUCUUCAGAAAUCACAGUUUUUACUGUAACAUAUAGAAAAAUUUCAUAUUAUCUCACCAGUUAAUCUAAUUAUGAUAACAGUACGUAGUAGAAAUGCUUAGAAAGAUUUUAUUCUGUUUUCCAUAUACAGUGUACAACUGUUAUUGCAAUUUUCUCUUUCCUAUAUUUUCUUUAAAGCAGGUACUGUUCUGUUACAAAACAACUAAUAAACAUUUUAUUAUUUUAACAGGUGAACCAUAUUUUACAUGAACUUGGGAAAAAACAACUUGAAUUCCAUGGAAAUAUAUAUAAUCAUGUCAUCAAUCAGAUAGUAAACAAUCAUUAAGAUAUAGUUUUCUAAUGCUAUAUAAUUUUGUUUAUCAAGGUGAAGAAACCUUACCUCACUAUAUCUUUUCCUGUUACAGAGCUAUGGUAGUAAUCUUAGAAGAUUUUCAUGAUCCCUCUAUUCAGUAGUUCUUUAACCAGUCUAGUAUUAUGACUGUAUUAUGUUAAAUAGCCUUGUGUGACUUUUGUAUUUUGUUUCUUUAAUAAUACAUUUACAAUGGUCAAAAUUACAGUUUAAUAUUUGUAUUUCUAAUGAUAAUUACUUGCACAUAUCCAUCACACUUCUCUCUUACUAUUAAACUUAUUACUAUCAUGCAAGUAAAAUCUCUUGGGAAAAAUAAAAUGUUGUCCCAGGAUAGUCAUAAAUAUCAUCUAGUAAAACUAAUAUACCUAUAAUCAUGUACAUAUGACUAUUAUAUAAUAUGUUGUAAUUCCUUUAAGUGUUUCCAAUUAAAUAAAUUUCUAUUUUCAGUUGUUCAUUGUUCAAACUAAUUUGAAACCUACAGUAUAUGUAGUUGCUAUGAUUCAGAUUAAUAUCCAAAAGUGUGCCUUUUACUACAGUUAGACUCCUCCCUAAUACAGACACUUUAUUGUGCCACUCCAAUGUUCAUUCAAAGUGAUCCAACUGACAUCUGAGCUGGUGAUAAUAUACAGCAAAGUAUUGGAAGUAGGAGUAUAUCAGAUAAGUUGUUCAUUCAGUCAAGACCUUCAGGUUGUGCUGAUCAUCAUAUCAAACUCCAUAACAUAUUGUGCCUUAAAAACAU